RNAcentral lists this ribosomal RNA (218 nucleotides) under uncultured bacterium. RNAcentral describes it as "partial 16S ribosomal RNA". It matches the Rfam family "Bacterial small subunit ribosomal RNA", at positions 116 to 334 of the family's 1533-position model. The record is from RNAcentral.
CGUACACAAUCUGCCUUAUACUGGGGCAUAACUUUGGGAAACUGAAGCUAAUUCCCCAUAACAUCAUAGAAUGGCAUCAUUCAGUGAUUAAAACUCCGGUGGUAUAAGAUGAGUGUGCGUCCGAUUAGAUAGUUGGUGAGGUAACGGCUCACCAAGUCAACGAUCGGUAGCUGGUCUGAGAGGAUGAUCAGCCACACGGGCACUGAGACACGGGCCCG